Molecule: ribosomal RNA, 255 nt
Filed under: uncultured bacterium
Lineage: Bacteria
Description: partial 16S ribosomal RNA
Rfam family: Bacterial small subunit ribosomal RNA
Source: RNAcentral
UACGAAGGGGGCUAGCGUUGCUCGGAAUCACUGGGCGUAAAGGGUGCGUAGGCGGGUCUUUAAGUCAGGGGUGAAAUCCUGGAGCUCAACUCCAGAACUGCCUUUGAUACUGAAGAUCUUGAGUUCGGGAGAGGUGAGUGGAACUGCGAGUGUAGAGGUGAAAUUUCGUAGAUAUUCGCAAGAACACCAGUGGCGAAGGCGGCUCACUGGCCCGAUACUGACGCUGAGGCACGAAAGCGUGGGGGAGCAAACAGG